AAAGUAAAAAGUCGUAACAAGGUUUCCGUAGGUGAACCUGCGGAAGGAUCAUUGAUAAAAUUAGAAAAUGUAGUCGACCGUGGACGUGUGUGCAAGUAAUCAUCGAUUUCCAAGCUGAUGCCGGUUGCAUUAUUUUCUUCUGAAGCAGUGAUGCUUGAUGCGGAUUAGUGUUGGCAUCGCGAUAGAUGAAAGAUAGAUUGAGCGCAAAUUGCGCCAAGGAAAAUGUAUUUAGGUUGGCAUCGUUCAUCUGGUUUCGAUUGCUGCCCUAGUGAAGUGCGUAAAUUGCACCCUUUGGAAUGACUCACGACAAUGGAUAUCUUGGUUCUCGCAUCGAUGAAGAACGUAGCGAAAUGCGAUACGUGAUGUGAAUUGCAGAAUCCCGUGAACCGUCGAAUCUUUGAACGCAUGUUGCGCUUGAAGUGUUCCCACUUUUGGCACGUCUGUCUGGGUGUCGCAAAUCUCGUCGUUCUUGUCUCUCUGAUGGGGGGUGAAUGGAGAUUGGCCUUUCGUUGGGUGACCUGCGGGUGGCCUCAAUGUCUGAUGCAAAAUGUUGUCACAUUCAACGUGCGUUGGUUGUUGGCUUGUCCAACUUCUGGUUGCGUUGUGUUGUUUUCAAUCUUUGGGUUCCCUAAAUUGUUGUGGCAAAAUGUACUGUUGCCCGUGUGAAUCGCCCCAGGUCAGGUGAGAUCACCCGAUGAAUUUAAGCAUAUCAAUAA
This 716-nucleotide ribosomal RNA is filed under the name Utricularia amethystina. RNAcentral describes it as "eukaryotic LSU rRNA". The stretch from base 299 to 454 matches the Rfam family "5.8S ribosomal RNA". The record is from RNAcentral. Lineage: Eukaryota; Viridiplantae; Streptophyta; Magnoliopsida; Lamiales; Lentibulariaceae.